UAAUCCAGGUGUUUUCCAUGA
RNAcentral lists this non-coding RNA (21 nucleotides) under Caenorhabditis elegans. The record is from RNAcentral. Lineage: Eukaryota; Metazoa; Nematoda; Chromadorea; Rhabditida; Rhabditidae.